This 347-nucleotide ribosomal RNA is filed under the name uncultured bacterium. RNAcentral describes it as "bacterial SSU rRNA". It matches the Rfam family "Bacterial small subunit ribosomal RNA", at positions 528 to 873 of the family's 1533-position model. The record is from RNAcentral.
GUAGGUUCCAACGUUAAUCGGAAUUACUGGCGUAAACGGUGCGCAGCCGGUUCUAUAAGACAGAUGUGAAAUCCCCGGGCUUAACCUGGGAACUGCGUUUGUGACUGUAGGACUGGAGUGUGGCAAGAKKGGGGUGGAAUUCCACGUGUAGCAGUGAAAUGCGUAGAGAUGUGGAGGAACACCGAUGGCGAAGGCAGACCCCUGGGUUAAACACUGACGCUCAUGCACGAAAGCGUGGGGAGCAAACAGGAUUAGAUACCCUGGUAGUCCACGCCCUAAACGAUGCGAACUAGGUGUUGGAGAAGGAGACUUCUUUAGUACCGUACKAACGCGUGAAGUUCGCCGCC